Zootermopsis nevadensis is the source of this 737-nucleotide non-coding RNA. Lineage: Eukaryota; Metazoa; Arthropoda; Insecta; Blattodea; Termopsidae. The record is from RefSeq and is a predicted model, not a curated record.
CGAGCAGGUAGCAACUACAAUUAACUUCAAGAGGGAAGCACUUGGCCUGAUUCUGGUCGCUGUGACUGUAACAAAGAGACCGGUGAAUGUUGUCCAGAACCAGCGAGGCUUAACAAGAACACAGCUGACGAACUCUGACGCGAACAAGCGACUCAUUCUGUACAGCGGUAAAGAACGCUGUCCUGAGAAACUGAUUCCCUACGAUAAAUAAAAGGACAUGCUAACAGUCAUUAAUAAGGUUUCGUUUCAGUUACCAUUUUGUUCAAGACUGGAAAGUUUCAUUGUUCAGUUAUAAAAGCCAAGGGGUGUACAAACGUCACGACUUCCGCCAAAAUUCUGUGAGAUAAAGUUACUUAACUUGCUUUAAUGAUGGCGUGUACUUCUCUACAAACCAAACUGGCGUAAAGAUAUGACGAAAGAUCAUUGAAAAGAUAUGUAUGAGGUCGGAACAGGCGUGAAUCUAAUCCGCUGAGGACAUAACAAGAGGAAAUGAAGACUACUGUGGGCUAUUUUGAAGGUUUCCGAGAAACAAAUGUCUAAAUAAAGUCAACUUAGAUGGCUGAUCGUCGCAUUUACUUAAAGACUAAAAAUUACUCUGUAUUGGUAAUUAUUUACGUGAUGAAGUGAGAAAAACCACGAAAAACUCGGGACUUCCGGAAUCCGGGUCGAAAAUUUAAACCCAAUGCAAACCACUCGGGAGAAAUAUUUUAAUUUCAGACGUUACGUGCCGGGAAAUG